ACUCCUACGGGAGGCAGCAGUGGGGAAUUUUGGACAAUGGGCGAAAGCCUGAUCCAGCCAUGCCGCGUGCAGGAUGAAGGCCUUCGGGUUGUAAACUGCUUUUGUACGGAACGAAAAGCCUCUUUCUAAUAAAGAGGGGUCAUGACGGUACCGUAAGAAUAAGCACCGGCUAACUACGUGCCAGCAGCCGCGGUAAUACGUAGGGUGCAAGCGUUAAUCGGAAUUACUGGGCGUAAAGCGUGCGCAGGCGGUUUUGUAAGACAGAGGUGAAAUCCCCGGGCUCAACCUGGGGAACUGCCUUUGUCCUUGCGGGGCUGGAGUGGGGCAAAAAGGGGGAAAAAUCUUCCGGGUGUAGAAGGGAAUGGUAUAAAAUAGGAGGAAAAAACACCGAUUGGAAAAGGCACCCCCCGGGGGGGCGUGCACUGACGCUCAUGCACCAAAAGCGGGGGGAGCCACCAGGAUUAUAUACCCUGGUAGUCCACGCCCUAAACGAUGUCAACUGGUUGUUGGGUCUUCACUGACUCAGUAACGAAGCUAACGCGUGAAGUUGACCGCCUGGGGAGUACGGCCGCAAGGUUGAAACUCAAAGGAAUUGACGG
Molecule: ribosomal RNA, 599 nt
Filed under: uncultured bacterium
Lineage: Bacteria
Description: partial 16S ribosomal RNA
Rfam family: Bacterial small subunit ribosomal RNA
Source: RNAcentral